RNAcentral lists this ribosomal RNA (253 nucleotides) under uncultured bacterium. Its description in RNAcentral is "partial 16S ribosomal RNA". It matches the Rfam family "Bacterial small subunit ribosomal RNA", at positions 524 to 776 of the family's 1533-position model. The record is from RNAcentral.
UACGGAGGGAACUAGCGUUGUUCGGAUUUACUGGGCGUAAAGGGCGCGUAGGCGGUUUAUUAAGUUAGAAGUGAAAGCCCAGAGCUUAACUCUGGAAUUGCUUCUAAAACUAGUAGGCUAGAGUACGGGAGAGGAUAGUGGAAUUCCUAGUGUAGAGGUGAAAUUCUUAGAUAUUAGGAGGAACACCGGUGGCGAAAGCGACUAUCUGGAACGUUACUGACGCUGAGGCGCGAAAGCGUGGGGAGCAAACAGG